This 253-nucleotide ribosomal RNA is filed under the name uncultured bacterium. Its description in RNAcentral is "partial 16S ribosomal RNA". It matches the Rfam family "Bacterial small subunit ribosomal RNA", at positions 524 to 776 of the family's 1533-position model. The record is from RNAcentral.
UACAGGGGGGGCAAGCGUUGUUCGGAAUUACUGGGCGUAAAGGGCUCGUAGGCGGCCAACUAAGUCACACGUGAAAUCCCCGGGCUUAACCUGGGAACUGCGUGUGAUACUGGAUGGCUUGAAUUCGGGAGAGGGAUGCAGAAUUCCAGGUGUAGCGGUGAAAUUCGUAGAUAUUCGCAAGAACACCAGUGGCGAAGGCGGCUCACUGGCCCGGUACUGACGCUGAGGUGCGAAAGCGUGGGGAGCAAACAGG